AGAGGAUCGUAAAUGCGACUCGCUGCUCCGGCCGCCUGGCGGCCGCGGGAUUCGAUUCUGGUCGAUCCUGCCAGACCCGACUGCUACCAUAGUGAGAUUAAGCCAUGCGAGUCAACGUAGCAAUACGUGGCAUACGGCUCAGUAACACGUAGUCAACAUAACCAAAGGACGUGGAUAAACUCGGGAAACUGAGGCUAAACCGCGAUAGUUCAAGAUACCUGGAAUGGUUUUUGAUCAAAAUCUAUAUGGCCUUUGGAUUGGACUGCGUCCGAUCAAGCUGUUGGUGAGGUAAUGGCCCACCAAACCUAUAACCGGUACGGGCUCUGAGAGGAGGAGCCCGGAGAUGGGUACUGAAAUAAGGACCCACCCCCUAUGGGGUGCGCAGGCGCGAAAGCUCUGCAAUAGGCGAAAGCUUGACAGGGUUACUCUGAGUGACUUUCGUUAAGAAAGUCUUUUGACACUUCUAAAAAUGGUGUAAAAUAAGGGGGGGGCAAUUCUGGUGUCAGCCGCCGCGGUAUUACCAGCACCCCGAGUGGCCGGGACGAUUAUAGGGCCUAAGGCAUCCGAACCCGGUCUUACAAGUCCUCCGUUAAAUCCAGCUACUUAACAUACGGGCUGCGUAGGAUGCUAUAGGACUAGGAGGCAGGACAGGCAAGCGGUACUCAGUGGGUAGGGGUAAAAUCCGUUGAUCCAUUGAAGAUCCCUUGUGGACAACGCGUCUUGCCAGGAUGCUCUCUACAGUGAGGUAUGAAAGCUGGGGGGAGAAAACCGGAUUAGAUACCCGGGUAUCACAGCUGUAA
This 800-nucleotide ribosomal RNA is filed under the name uncultured soil archaeon. Its description in RNAcentral is "bacterial SSU rRNA". It matches the Rfam family "Archaeal small subunit ribosomal RNA", at positions 1 to 756 of the family's 1478-position model. The record is from RNAcentral.